AACGAACGCUGGCGGCAGGCUUAACACAUGCAAGUCGAGCGCCCCGCAAGGGCAGCGGCAGACUGGUGAGUAACGCGUGGGAACAUACCCUUAUCUUCAGGCUAGCUCCGGGAAACUGGUAUUAAUACCGAAUUUGCCCUUUGGCGGGAUGAUUUAUCGGAUAAGGUUCGGCCCGCGUUGGAUUAGCUGGUGGGUGGGGUAAAGGCCUACCAAGGCGACGAUGCAUAGCUGGUCUGGGAGGAGGAUCAGCUACAAUGGGACUGAGACACGGACCAAACUCGUACGGAAGGGAGCAGAGGGGAAUAUUAGAGAAUGGGGGCAAGCGUGAUCAAGCCAUGCCGGGUGAGAGAUGAAGGGGGUAGGGUAGUAAAGCUGUUUCAGAGGAGAAGAUAGUGACGGUAACCGGAGAAGAAGCACCGGCUAACUUCGUG
This 431-nucleotide ribosomal RNA is filed under the name uncultured bacterium. Its description in RNAcentral is "partial 16S ribosomal RNA". It matches the Rfam family "Bacterial small subunit ribosomal RNA", at positions 29 to 507 of the family's 1533-position model. The record is from RNAcentral.